Molecule: ribosomal RNA, 429 nt
Filed under: Chloroflexota bacterium
Lineage: Bacteria; Bacillati; Chloroflexota
Description: Chloroflexi bacterium partial 16S ribosomal RNA
Rfam family: Bacterial small subunit ribosomal RNA
Source: RNAcentral
UGGGGAAUAUUGCACAAUGGGCGCAAGCCUGAUGCAGCCAUGCCGCGUGUAUGAAGAAGGCCUUCGGGUUGUAAAGUACUUUCAGUCGGGAGGAAGGUGGUAAGGUUAAUAACCUUAUCAAUUGACGUUACCGACAGAAGAAGCACCGGCUAACUCCGUGCCAGCAGCCGCGGUAAUACGGAGGGUGCAAGCGUUAAUCGGAAUUACUGGGCGUAAAGCGCACGCAGGCGGUUGAUUGAGUCAGAUGUGAAAUCCCCGGGCUUAACCCGGGAAUUGCAUCUGAUACUGGUCAGCUAGAGUCUUGUAGAGGGGGGUAGAAUUCCAUGUGUAGGGGUGAAAUGCGUAGAGAUGUGGAGGAAUACCGGUGGCGAAGGCGGCCCCCUGGACAAAGACUGACGCUCAGGUGCGAAAGCGUGGGGAGCAAACAGG